Molecule: ribosomal RNA, 253 nt
Filed under: uncultured bacterium
Lineage: Bacteria
Description: partial 16S ribosomal RNA
Rfam family: Bacterial small subunit ribosomal RNA
Source: RNAcentral
GACAGAGGGUGCAAGCGUUGUUCGGAAUCACUGGGCUUAAAGGGCGCGUAGGCGGGCUCACAAGUCAGGGGUGAAAUCCCACGGCUCAACCGUGGAAGUGCCUUUGAUACUGUGGGUCUUGAGGGAGGUAGGGGCGUGCGGAACUUCCGGUGGAGCGGUGAAAUGCGUAGAUAUCGGAAGGAACACCGGUGGCGAAAGCGGCGCGCUGGACCUCUACUGACGCUGAGGCGCGAAAGCCAGGGGAGCAAACGGG